AUUGAACGCUGGCGGCAUGCUUUACACAUGCAAGUCGAACGGCAGCGCGGGCUUCGGCCUGGCGGCGAGUGGCGAACGGGUGAGUAAUACAUCGGAACGUGCCCAGUAGUGGGGGAUAGCUCGGCGAAAGCCGGAUUAAUACCGCAUACGACCUGAGGGUGAAAGCGGGGGAUCUUCGGACCUCGCGCUAUUGGAGCGGCCGAUGGCAGAUUAGCUAGUUGGUGGGGUAAAGGCCUACCAAGGCGACGAUCUGUAGCUGGUCUGAGAGGACGACCAGCCACACUGGGACUGAGACACGGCCCAGACUCCUACGGGAGGCAGCAGUGGGGAAUUUUGGACAAUGGGCGAAAGACUGAUCCAGCAAUGCCGCGUGUGUGAUGAAGGCCUUCGGGUUGUAAAGCACUUUUGGCGGGAACGAAAAGGACUGUGCCAAUACCACGGUUCGAUGACGGUACCCGCAGAAUAAGCACCGGCUAACUACGUG
RNAcentral lists this ribosomal RNA (484 nucleotides) under uncultured bacterium. RNAcentral's name for it is "partial 16S ribosomal RNA". It matches the Rfam family "Bacterial small subunit ribosomal RNA", at positions 29 to 507 of the family's 1533-position model. The record is from RNAcentral.